GGAAUUUGGAAGAGAAAGGUUGACAUUUUGUUCAUUACAUGUAUCAGUUUACAUCAGGAUUUCCACUGGCUGCAAUCAUGUGAGCUUGGAGGGUAGAAAUUGGAAGUGAGAGGAACCAUUCAAUUCCACCAAUUGGAUGGGACGUUUCGUAGUUUAACUUCAUCCUGAUCAACUAUUUGUGACUCACGUAAUAUGUAUUUCUAAGAAUACAUUGAACAUAGAAAAAUGAA
Long non-coding RNA from Dreissena polymorpha, 230 nucleotides. RefSeq lists it as uncharacterized. NCBI's taxonomy places the organism in Eukaryota, Metazoa, Mollusca, Bivalvia, Myida, Dreissenidae. The record is from RefSeq and is a predicted model, not a curated record. The transcript is spliced from 3 exons.